This 730-nucleotide ribosomal RNA is filed under the name Caloplaca albopruinosa. Its description in RNAcentral is "partial large subunit ribosomal RNA". The stretch from base 93 to 431 matches the Rfam family "Bacterial large subunit ribosomal RNA", at positions 860 to 1233 of the family's 2925-position model. The record is from RNAcentral. Lineage: Eukaryota; Fungi; Ascomycota; Lecanoromycetes; Teloschistales; Teloschistaceae.
GAAUUGUGAUCUUAUACAACUAUUAYUUAUUUUUAAAGUAAUUUUUGUAAGCAUUGGGGGGUCGUGAAGAUUCUAUCAGUGAGUAUUUGUUCUCGAAAGGGCUAUGAUUAAUAUUGAAUAAUCAGACAUAGUACGCUAAGGUUGUAUGUCUAAAGGGAAACAGCCCAGAGCAAGUGUAAAUAAGGUUCCAAAAUUAUUAUUAAGUGAAAUAAAGGUAGUUUAUGUCUUAAACGGCCAGGAAAUGGGCUUAGAAGCGGCCAUUUUUUAAAGACCUCGUAACAGAGCACUGGCUUUGUCCUAUAAUUUAGGAUAAAUUAGAUUUAAAUUUCUUAGAUCUAAUUUACAUGGAUAUGAGCACCGACGAUACAACGGAUCUAAAUAAUAUACCGAUACCUUGUCCAUAAAAAUAUAUACUUAUUAUCUGUAUAAGAUAAGUUAUUUGAAAAAGCAAACAAACAGGAGGUAAUAAAAGAGAAUUAAAUCGAAAAUUUUUUUUUUAGUUUUUUUUUUUUUAUUAAAGUGAUAAAUGUUCUGGAAAAUAGCACUUUAGACAUUUUCUAAUAACAACAGACUAUUGUUAUAAACAAUAGUGAGUUUUAGAAAAAAAAAUGAACCCGUAGAUGGUAAACGAAAGUGGUAGUUUUCUAUAAACACAUCGAAAGAUGUGAAAAAAUUUUAUAAUUAAGUUAAAGAUACCGUACCUAAAAACUACCACAAGUAAGCAAGUAGA